Molecule: non-coding RNA, 248 nt
Organism: Nicotiana tabacum (common tobacco)
Lineage: Eukaryota; Viridiplantae; Streptophyta; Magnoliopsida; Solanales; Solanaceae
Source: RefSeq, a predicted model, not a curated record
CUCAAUCAAAAUCUCAAAUCGGGUUUGGCUCAAAAUCUCAAAUUGAGUUUGGCCAGAUUUUCUACAAGGAACUAUGUAUGGUGAGUAUUGGAGAUUUAGAAGGAAAAGAUUUUGGCGAUACUUGGAGAAGAAAAAAUUUUUAUCACGAGGUUUUUGCUGCUGAGAUUCACAAAGCUUAUUUGCUACAAAGUCAAGGCACAUGUAUGUCUAGUGGCCUUGUGGGCGCAGUGGCAUGAUUGAUACAGGGA